This is an RNA transcript of Myotis daubentonii (Daubenton's bat), 4383 nucleotides long. It is a transcript of the gene named TATA-box binding protein associated factor, RNA polymerase I subunit D, with no coding region annotated. The transcript has 8 exons. NCBI's taxonomy places the organism in Eukaryota, Metazoa, Chordata, Mammalia, Chiroptera, Vespertilionidae. The record is from RefSeq and is a predicted model, not a curated record.
GUGGGUUCAGUCUUUUCCUCCGCGCGCUUGCGGAGGCCGGCGGUUGUUUCGUGCUGUGCCCCUGAGGCUGGCGGUUCCUGGAGGCGGGCUUCCCAGGCCUGGGCUGCGGGUGGCGCGUACGCAGCUGAGGCCCUUACCGAGCCGGCGCUUGGUGGUGCCCGCCGUCUGCCGACCUACACGGUGUAUUUUAUGUUGUCAGAAAUUUGGUGAAAGCAAAGAACAAGUGAGAAUAACAAUUUUGAGACAGAUUGGAAGAAGAUAUCAGGAAUGGAUUCUCCAGACUACAUAACAGUAUCUGAUUCAGCUAUGGAAAUUGAAAAUCAAAAUGAUAGCUCUUCCUCUGAUAGCAGCUUAUUUAAAACUCAAUGUGUUCCUUCCUCACCUAAACGGAGGCAAAGAAAUCCCAUUAGGAAAUGUGUUCAUUCACUUGAAAGUGUUCAAGCAAGAGAUUCAUCCAGUGACUCAUCUAUAGAACCAAGACCAUUGACUUUAAAAGCUAUUUUUGAAAGAUUCAAGAAAAAGAAAUCAAAGAAACGUAAAAAGAGGAAAUAUAAGCCAACAGGAAGACCAAUGGGAAGACCAAAAGGAAGGAAAAACAGUAGGUCACAAAUAAGUAAGAAACAACUUAAAGUUAAAAGACCUCAGUUCCCAUUUAUCGAGUCAGAGAAUGGAAGAAAACCAAUACCUUGGAGGAAAAUUUUAACCUUUGAGCAAGCAGUGGCAAGAGGAUUUUUCAACUACCUUGAAAAACUGAAAUAUGAAUACCACCUCAAGGAAUCCUUAAAUCAGAUGAAUGUUGGUGAAGAUUUAGAAAAAGACGACCUUGAUAGUCGUAGAUAUAAAUACUUGGAUGAUGAUGGAUCAAUCUCUCCUAUUGAAGAGUCAGCAGAAGAAGAUGAGGUUGCUACAAAUCUUGGACGUGAUGAUGAAUGUGAUAUCAAAUUGGUGGAGAAUAAUUAUUUCAUAAUAAGUUCUGAAUUACCAAAGAAGAUGAAUGUAUAUUUAGAGCAAGAAUACACUGAAGACGUUGCUUUGUCUAAAAAGAGAGUAUCAAAGUCCAAAAACAUUGGACAGAAGACAGAAUGACCUGAAAAGGAGAUACGAACGUGAAUGUCAAGGGUUUUAUCUUGAGAACACUAUCUGGAUUUAUGUCAACUCUUUAGGUAUUUUUGUAUAUCCUGAAGAUCUGUACGAUUCUAGGGAGUGAUAGCUUAGGUAAGUUUUAAUUGGCGACAGUGUGACAACUUUAGGGUACAACUGCAGUUCAGAUGAUGAAUUUAACUGUUCAACUGCUGAAUGAUACAGACAUGAACUAAAACAUAAUUCUGACAGCUGAAUAUAGCUCUGUAUAAGUUUUAGUUUUUUAAUCACAUUCAUCAAUCUUUUAUUUGGUGUUUUAUCUGUAGGAGUGAAGAUUUUAACACUCAUGUGUAGAGGUAAGUGGAACAUUUAACUUUUCAUUUAUUAAGGAUUCAAAGUUGUGAAAAAAUGUAAUUUGUGAGUAGACUAAGUCCUCCCUUAACACUAAUGAUAGGUUCUGAAACAAUAAGUGAAGUGAUGUAAAAGGAAGCCAGUUUGACCACAGGCUAAAUGAUGAGAAGUUGCUGUGGCAUCUCAACUUGAUAAGGACACCUUGAACAAAAGGAUGUUAAGUUGAGGACUGCUGUACUGCAUUCCAUUACUGUUGUGACUAAUAGAUUAGGUAUAAAGCAGAAUUGUCAAUAUCUUGGUGAAAAUAUUUGCCAUAAUUGUAUUUAUAUACAAAAUUGGUGGUGGGGAGGGAUGGGAGUUGAAGAGACUGCAUGUCUAGGGGUACCAAAUGAAAAUGUCCCCUUUUUGCACCCUUUUAUUAAACGGACUGUUCCAUAUGGUUCAUCCUAGAAAUGCAGACUUGGAUAUGUUAAAAUAGCAAAGGAAUUCCACCUAAUAACAAUUUGAACAAUGGUAACCUUUAUUUCUAGUGCAAAGAGAGAGGAUAAAGAUAAUAGUGACUUAGGUUUAUAGUUUAUUGCAUUAAUAUGGUUGCCUCAUUGAAAUGACAACUGGAAAGUCACUGUUUUUAAAAAAAUUUCCCCCCAUUGACCCUCCCCCCACCAACCCAGGUCUUCACACUAUUGUCUGUGUCCAUGGGUUAGUGCAUAUAAGUUCUUGGGUUAAUCUCCCUCCCCCCACCCCAAUUCCUCCUGAGUUUUGUCAGCUGGUUAACAUGCUUCUGGAUUUUGUCACAGUGAUAUUUAAUCCUCACAUACUUAAAACAGAAGUGUUUAUAGUUCAGUCAUAAUGCACUGCAUGGUAUCUGCAUUCAGUAGUUUAUUCCUGCUGGGUGUUCAAAGGACAGUGCAAUAUAAAUUCAGUAUCUGGCAUCGUUGGUUUUCUUGGCUUUGUGCAUGUUAAACCUGGUAUUUUUAUUGAGACAUUAUUCUUACAGUUCUUAGUGUUCAGUUAGACAUAAGUAAUCUUCAGUAGGAACUAAUACUUGUCUCUUGUCCCUAGUGUCCGAUAUUAAAAAAACCAGGCAGAUCCAUCUACUCAGACCCUAACCACGUAAGCCUUUCUAUUUCUGUUGCUUUUAGUGGUUUCUUUCCUUUAUUGAUAGCAAGUGUCAGCAGGAACUACUUCUAUACAGAUGUCAAAGCCUUUUGCAUAGUGUAUACAUAAGCUUGAGAGAAAGUUUUAUAAAGCCUCAUUCUAUAUGAAAAUGGGCACUGUUUUUUGUGUACGGUGUCCAGAAAUUUGUUAUUGUGGCUAUAUUGAGACACAGGUUAUGCUUCCAUCACAGUAAUCUUAUUACAGUGGUGACAAUGAGACCUGUAACAUUUUUUGCUAGGCUCAGUGAGCGGAAUAAUAAGUAUACCUUACAUCACCUGCUAAAAUAACAAUAACAAUGUUUUAAUAUUCAAUUUAUAGGGUCCUAAAGAAAAUUGCUUGAAGAAAUUAGUUCCCAAUGAUUAUAGGUAAGAUUUUAAUUUUUUCCUUCAAACUCCCUCCUAGUUUACAGGAGACUUAAGCUCCUUUAGAAAAUUUCAGUAUUAAUGUCCUUGCAUUUAUUCACUUAUUACAGUAGCCCAUCCUGGUGGCUUAUUACUACCACAAAAAAAAAUUGGACAUUAAAAAGGCCAACCGCUAUGCUUGUAGUGUUCACCAGCCUGAUGUUAUGAUGAUGGGCAAAAUGUUCAACUGCUCUGAAUGAGCUGAAUGAAAAAUAGCCAUCUGAACAUCCAUCUACAUAAUAAAUACGAAAGCUAAGAUAAGCAUUCCCCGAAACACAAACAUUUCCAAAUAGUGCAUUUUCUAUGAGAAUUUUAUGAAUGGAAAUGGAUUAAGUCUUAUUUUAACAUUAGAUUUGUUCCCAAUAUCUAAUUUGAUUGAAAAGAUGCUUAUUCCAAUUAUUUUCAGUUUCAAGCCUGGAACUUUCAAUGUAUGCUAGUUGGGAACUGGUUGUGAGGGUACUUUGGACCCUAAUGAAAUGUAUUUUGAAAAAUUUAGUCCAAUAUGAACGUUAAAAUCUUUCUUCAUAGGUGCAGAAUUUUUGAAGUAUGUCCAUAUUCAAGUGUAGAUAAAAGAAGCUCAACUAAAAGGAUUGUGGCAAGUAUUGUCUUUAUCUUACCCCACACCAAAGUAUAAUGGUCAUUACCAAGGCUUUUAGAAUGUAGUUUCUCAUUUGCCGUGGACAUGACCACAAAACAUUUCCCCAAUGGGUUUUUUUCUGCUAUGUUGGUACCAUAGCAUUCAGCCUAUUGGGAACAUUUUACUAACCUAGAUUUACAUUGCUAGAUCACAUUCCACUAUACAUAUGACACAAGCUAUAGGAGAUUUCUGUAAUAGGUCUUGGGAAUCAGAUUUGAUGACAGCCAUUUUAGAUGUCUGGGGCUUGAUGACCUUUGUCUAGCCAAGUCCUUCUCAGUUACCAUACAGUUUGUGAUCAUGAUAAUCUCUAUUCCUAUUAUAUAGGACUGACUUGAGAUGACAUCCGGAUUGAGCAAAACAGGUAUGUAAACAUUAGAAAUAGGUAUUAAUUUAUGGGUCAUUUCAAAGAGAGCUUAUGGGACUAAAACCAGGAGCUCUUAACGCUGUGACCUAAAAUUGAAGUUCUCCAUAGGAUGUAAUAGACACUCAAUAGUGUCUAUUUUGUCCUAAAGAGAUAUAUGAUUUAGCUACUUACAUCAGUGAUUGGUGAGGUGGGAAAGUAAAUUUUCCAAGUUUAACCACUGCGUACUCUUCUUUUUUAGGGAAUAAGAUGAUUAAGACUCAAAUUCAGAAGGAACUAAGGCAGUGGAAGAACUCAGAACAUGUGAAAUUCCUUAAAUAAAAGUUUAUUAACUUUAAAUAAUUGUGCCUAUGUUACAAAUAAUAAAAGUCCUUCAUACUUUUUGUAGAAAGUCA